Chelonoidis abingdonii (Abingdon island giant tortoise) is the source of this 125-nucleotide non-coding RNA. Lineage: Eukaryota; Metazoa; Chordata; Testudines; Testudinidae. The record is from RefSeq and is a predicted model, not a curated record.
GACACGGCUAGAGGAAUCAUAGAAAAUUAAGAUUGGAAGAGAGCUCAGAUCAUCAUCUAGUCCAACCCCCUACUCAAAGCAGGACCAACACCAACUAAAUCAUCCCAGCCAGGGCUUUGUCAAGC